AGAACGAACGCUGGCGGCAGGCUUAACACAUGCAAGUCGAACGCUCGUAGCAAUACGGGAGUGGCAGACGGGUGAGUAACGCGUGGGAACAUACCCUCCGGUUCGGAAUAGCUCAGGGAAACUUGGAUUAAUACCGGAUACGGCCGAGAGGCGAAAGAUUUAUCGCCGGAGGAUUGGCCCGCGUUCGAUUAGCUAGUUGGUGAGGUAACGGCUCACCAAGGCGAUGAUCGAUAGCUGGUCUGAGAGGAUGAUCAGCCACAUUGGGACUGAGACACGGCCCAAACUCCUACGGGAGGCAGCAGUGGGAAUAUUGGACAAUGGGCGCAAGCCUGAUCCAGCCAUGCCGCGUGAGUGAUGACGGCCUUAGGGUUGUAAAGCUCUUUCGCUCGGGACGAUAAUGACGGUACCGAGAUAAGAACGCCCGGCUAACUUCGCGCCAGCAGCCGC
Molecule: ribosomal RNA, 447 nt
Filed under: uncultured bacterium
Lineage: Bacteria
Description: SSU rRNA
Rfam family: Bacterial small subunit ribosomal RNA
Source: RNAcentral